This 362-nucleotide long non-coding RNA is filed under the name Ananas comosus (pineapple). RNAcentral's name for it is "long non-coding RNA (ACOM_LNC015309)". The record is from RNAcentral. Lineage: Eukaryota; Viridiplantae; Streptophyta; Magnoliopsida; Poales; Bromeliaceae.
UAAAUAAAGUACUUGUGGUUUUCAUGUGAAAUUAUGAAAACAGUUUCUACCCCUCAUGGUAGUUUGUUUUUAAAGGAAAAAGUUUUCGUAUGGAAUACGGUUUUAAAAAGGGUUUUUCGCUUUUCAUAAUUUUUAGUAUUUCAAAAUGAGUUUUUAGGUGGGAAACGUUUUAAACUGAUAGGUGUGGAUUUAUGAAUAAAAUAUUGUAAUCUUGUGACUGACCGAAUGUGAUUCGUAUUAUGUGAUGUGGUGAAUGUAUAUAGUUGUAUAUAUACUAUGGUUGUAUCUUGUACUUAUGUGACGCCGUGUAAAUAUAGAGGAGACCCUGUCCGUGUGAACAGUGGGUUUUCUAUAUUUGUAGC